GAUGACAAAAAGGGGGAGAAUGGAUGUGUGCUUUGUGUGCUUUUGUUUUGUAAAAAUGGAUGUGUGCUUAUAUUUUGAAAAUGGAUGUAUACUUAUGUUUUAGAAGUGUGUAUGCAAACUAUUGUGACUUAUGUGUGCAAACUAUUAAGUUUAAUAUUUUGCAUAUUGAAAUUGUGGAUAUCUUAUGAAUAUGUUUUGUAGCAUAAAUUCAGGGGAAGUUUUGUAUAGCUAUUAAUACUUUUAUUUUUUUUAACUUGUGUGCAUACAUUUAGGAGGAGUAAUUUCUGCAUAUUAACAUGCUUGGUUAUACAUAAACUUAC
This 320-nucleotide unclassified non-coding RNA is filed under the name Hevea brasiliensis (rubber tree). The record is from RNAcentral. Lineage: Eukaryota; Viridiplantae; Streptophyta; Magnoliopsida; Malpighiales; Euphorbiaceae.